GGUUAGCGAUCUUUAGCAUGCACCAAAAGGCACUGAUCUAAAAAUUUUGAGAUCAGUGACCAAAAGGAGGUGCUAUAGAUUUUAAAAUUUGCAGACUACGGAAAAAUUUGUUGAUAUCAAAUAUGACGCAAAGGUCGUCUCAACACCAUCUGAAAAAAUUAUCACCAUGCUUUUGAAAUCGUACGAAGCUUGUUGGUUUGUAUGUUUGCCAAUAUUUGUUUAUUGAUAUUUAUAUUGUAUUUAUCAAAAAAAAUUUAAAAGCUAAUUAAAAUGGACGAGAAUAAAUUAGGAGAUUGUAUUGUUUAUGAAAUUGUUUCUUCAUUAGAUCCCGAAGAUUUUGUUAAACAAGGAUCAACAAGUACCUUUAGUUCCCCUUAAAGAAACUCUUGAAGAAGGACACAUUUUCAAUGUUUGUUUAAAACUAAAAGAACAUCACAUAUUGUACACAGUGCAUUAUGUUUCAGCAUUCUCCAGAGGAAUGGAAAAGUAAAUAAAAGCCAGCAAAUGAUGUGGAUUCAAUUAGAAAUUUAUGUUGGUUUACAGGAUCCCAUUAAGGGUCAAAUUAAUGCUUUUAAUACACAUAAGUCUACUCUUUUUGUUCAAGUUCUUCAUGACAGGAAUCUUCACUGGCUUUGUGUGAACACAUACAAUUGUAAGCCAGGUGAGAUUUAUAUCUUUGACAGCUUUUUCCAUGGCUCUAUAUCUGUCGAGACGAAAAAGCAAAGAUGUUCUUUUUUAAAUUGCAACAAAAAGUAUAUAUUAGUUAAAGUAUUACCUGCUCAACAACAAACUAAUUUUUUGGAUUGCGGAUUGUAUGUCAUUGCCUGGGCUUGGACAAUACUCGAAAAUAAAAGUUUACCAUCAACCUCCAUUAUGUUUGAACAAGGGCAAAUGAGAAAUCGUCUCUUAAGAUGUAUACAAAAAAACCAGUUAGAUGUAUUUCCAGUCACUGAAAAUCCCUCACUGUUUAAAAGAUGUUUAGCAAAGAACUUUUGUAUCCCUCUGCAUUGCUCGUGUUGUAUGUUUUGACCAAAUGAAGAUGAACAAAUCUUUAAUAGAAAGGAAACCAAUAAAGCUUCAUCCGAAUUUGCUUAGCAUAAAUGGUUUCUUCUUGUUGUCCCUGGCCACUAGCAUUAUGUUUUGUUGCAUGUUAUCAGACUUGUAUGGUCACUACUUUUGAAGCCUUUCUGACUGAACAAUACCCAGCUGUUUGUCAUCAAUGCCAUUUAUAUCAUGUGAUGUAACACUGACUGCUAUCACUUUUUAAAAAAAACAGUUAGUUAAAGUCUUCUUCAAUCUGUUUCACUCAUUUAGUACGAAUCAGCAGUGAACUUAUACAGAAAUUAUCAAACAAGUUGGAAGACUAAAAACUUUGAUACACUCAAAAAGUCACUUUUCAAGUUUAAUUAUUUCCUUUCGAAAUUGAAUAUACAAUCAAUACCAAAUUAGAGUCACAAAGUAAAUUUAACUUUCUUAAAGCAAUAUUUUAAAUAAAAAAAAUUUAGAAGAAAACUUGUGAUUGUUGUGUUGUUUCUUCUUCCUAUAAAUUAACCUUAUUAUUUAGCAACUAAAUUUUCUUUUUAAUUUAUAAUGUAUUUUAAAAGAAAAAUUUGAAAGAAAAAAUGUUGUAUUUUAUAAUAUUAAAAAAAAAGAACAGGCUAAAACUUUUCUAUAUUA
Molecule: non-coding RNA, 1677 nt
Organism: Hydra vulgaris (swiftwater hydra)
Lineage: Eukaryota; Metazoa; Cnidaria; Hydrozoa; Anthoathecata; Hydridae
Source: RefSeq, a predicted model, not a curated record